GCUUCUCCAAACCCCUUACUUAAGCUUUCCAGAUUUAGGAUUCUACAAUCUACAGAUGGAUGUUGAUACGAUCCCUUAGCUGUCAGUGGAUCUCAAGCGACGAGGUUGAGUCUGAGGUCUAUUGAAUGAUGAAACUUGUCAGAUUGGCCAAGAAAAUAAAAAGGUUGGGGUGUCGAUGACUCGUAGGAUAGAAGGUCCCAAUUUCAAAGGUAGGUGUGCUGAUUGGUAAAGUCGCGGAGAAUAUACGGACUCAAAAUCCAAAUCUUUUAAGGAUUCUGAAGCUGAUCCCAUUCCCACCUCUGCUUUUAGACCAGUCGACAUAAUUGGAAACGUUGCGUGCAUUGAAAAAGCUUAUUAAUGCAGAGCUUAAAACUUGUCUUGACUUCACUGUAAGCAAUUUGGUUACACAAUAAUUUCUUCUGCUACUACAUCAGUCUGAAGUAGGAGGUUCGCCUGCCCUUGUUGCCAGGGGACAUCAUGCCACUCCUCCUCCGACAGGGGUUUCAGAACAAAAUAAAGAUUAGAGAUCCUUAGGAUAAUAAGCUAAUGCCUUUUGUAUUAUUCUCUAUAGCAUCAGUUUAAUCAUGUCUAAGCCAGUUUCAUUUGACAGGUUGGUCUGAUCAUUGGCCGAGGUGGGAACUCGAUCAAGAAAAUGCAGGCAAGAUCAGAUGCACGCAUUCAGUUGAUACCACAACAUGCAUAAGGUGAGGAAUUUAAGGAGAGAACUAUUCGCAUAAAAGACAAAUUGACAUAGCAAGGGACUGAUAAAUGAUAUGUCAUGUACCAGUUAUUGAAGGUGCCGGUCUCGGGAUGGUGUUAAAAAUGCAGAUUUCGCUAUUACCAUUUACACGGGGUUAGCAUUGCCUCAUUGAGACUGAUGUUUACAGAAGAAGAAGGUAUCUGGCCUUGUAACAGGCUUGCCGGUUAUAGUAGAGUCGAAUGCAAGGCAGUCACCCUAUUCCGGUGGUUGCCCUGAGGGCCAGUUGGUCCACCUCAAUGGGUUCACGAGGUCCUCAUCCUCCCUACUCAAGGCCCUUUGAUUACCAUUACCAUGGACCGUAUUCAUCUCAAGGUCAGCAUAUACCGCCUAGAGGUCGAUAUGGUGCUGGUUGGGACCACAUACCUCCGCAUUCUGGUCCGUACAGUUAUUACGGUAAACAAGGAGCUCAAACUUUUGGUCCACUUCCACAUCCUUCUGGCUAUGCACCUUCCCCUGUCUUGGGUGGUCCCCCUUCUUCCCAAGUAAGUUAUGAUUACGGUCAGAGUCAUGGUCCAGAGUAUGGAAAUGCUGCUCCAUACUCUCAGACCGGUCAUCAGCAGGCUUAUAUGCAGAUGUAUGAACAGCUCAAGUAUGACAGUAAUCCUCCUCCGGUGCAGCCACCUUUUGGAGGUUCGUACCCACCAGUAGGUGGUGGUCAGCCAAAGCUAUUCCCAAGUGCAGCAACCUAGGCCUCACGGGACGCAACAAGGUCCUGUCCAGCAUGGGUACUUCGCAAGAUAAAUAACAAUUUGAUGCUUUAUGUAUUUUUCUCAUGAUUUCUCAUAAAAAAACAAACGGUUAUAUAUCUACAGUAAAGCAAAAAAAAUGUUGUCUUGGAAGUUAAACAGCACAAUGGCAUCAGCCUAGAACAAGCCAUGUUUCAGGAUCAAUCACCAUAUUCCUGGAAGUUUUUUUUUUCUC
This is a long non-coding RNA of Raphanus sativus (radish), 1681 nucleotides long. RefSeq lists it as uncharacterized. The record is from RefSeq and is a predicted model, not a curated record. Lineage: Eukaryota; Viridiplantae; Streptophyta; Magnoliopsida; Brassicales; Brassicaceae. The transcript is spliced from 5 exons.